Molecule: small RNA, 559 nt
Filed under: Pan troglodytes (chimpanzee)
Lineage: Eukaryota; Metazoa; Chordata; Mammalia; Primates; Hominidae
Description: processed transcript
Source: RNAcentral
GCAUUGGUGCGCCUCAGGCCAGGCUGCACUGCUGGGACCGGGGCCAUGUCUCCCCACCCCACCGCCCUCCUGGGCCUAGUGCUCUGCCUGGCCCAGACCAUCCACACGCAGGAGGUGGACGCUGAGAUCCUUCUCUGCUUCCCUCUUAGGGGCCCUGCCCAGACCCUCCAUCUCGGCUGAGCCAGGCACUGUGAUCCCCCAGGGGAGCCAUGUGACUUUCGUGUGCCGGGGCCCGGUUGGGGUUCAAACAUUCCGCCUGGAGAGGGAGAGUAGAUCCACAUACAAUGAUACUGAAGAUGUGUCUCAAGCUAGUCCAUCUGAGUCAGAGGCCAGAUUCCGCAUUGACUCAGUAAGUGAAGGAAAUGCCGGGCUUUAUCGCUGCAUCUAUUAUAAGCCCCCUAAAUGGUCUGAGCAGAGUGACUACCUGGAGCUGCUGGUGAAAGGUGAGGACGUCACCUGGGCCCUGCCCCAGUCUCAGCUCGACCCUCGAGCUUGUCCCCAGGUCCCUGGACCCUGUCCCAGCUGCUGUCCUCUGUGGCCAACCUUGCCCUCCUCCUGA